Paramisgurnus dabryanus is the source of this 1315-nucleotide long non-coding RNA. RefSeq lists it as uncharacterized. Lineage: Eukaryota; Metazoa; Chordata; Actinopteri; Cypriniformes; Cobitidae. The record is from RefSeq and is a predicted model, not a curated record.
UUCAUUGGCAAAUGAAGUGGAGCAAGCAGAAAUAAAUGGCAAUGUUUCCGAAGAAUAUUACGAAUCUACACGCGAUAUAACUACUACUUUAUUAGAACGUCUCGGAGAGUUGUCUGCCUUAUCAGAUGUUGACACCAAUUUGGCAUCUGACCGCUUAAGAAUGGCGGCGGAACGGUUAUCAUUAGCUCGGGUUAGGGGAGUGGGAAGACCGUCCGUGGAAAUCCCUGGCGAAGCCAUAGAGGGAUAUCUUACUUAUGGUUUAACAGUUAAAGACAUUGCGACCUUGUAUGGUGUGAGUCGAUGGACAGUGCUUCGAAGAAUGAAACUGUACGAACUGAGAGGUCAAGAUGUGUACUCUCGUAUUGACAACACAGAACUGGACAGUUUGGUCAUGGAAAUUCAAAGGGAGCACCCACGGUGUGGAUAUCGUAUGAUGAGGGCUUUUCUCCAAGCACGUGGACAUUUGAUUCAGUGUUCUGAAGAACAAACAAGCCAAUGGGAUUUGAAAAAUACAUUUUUAUAGGGUACGUGAAUCCUUACAAAGAGUGGACCCAGAGGGAACGCAGCUUCGAGCCCUGGCAAACCGCACGCUUCAUCGCAGACAGUACUCCGUUCCUGGUCCGAAUUCAAUGUGGCAUAUAGAUGGAAAUCAUAAAUUGAUACGCUGGCGAUUCGUGAUUCACGGAGGCAUUGAUGGUUUUAGUCGUCUUAUUGUCUUUCUGAAUGCUGCUACCAACAACAGUGCCACUACUGUGCUGGAUGCGUUUCUUGGUGCUGUUAGGCAAUAUGGAUUGCCUUCUCGUGUUCGCUCUGAUAAAGGAGGAGAAAACGUUGAGGUGGCACAGUUCAUGAUACAGAAUCGUGGUGAAAACCGCAAUUCUCACAUUACAGGAAGAAGUGUUCAUAAUCAACGGAUUGAACGUCUUUGGCGGGAUGUGUACACACAAGUCCUUGAUUUGUUCCACACACUGUUUUACCAUUUUGAAGAAAAUGGAAUGUUGAAUCCUAUGAGAUCCACCUUUUUGCACUACACUGGACAUUUCUCCCCCAAUUACAGCAUCAACUGAACACUUUCAAAGAUGCAUGGAACUUUCACAGACUGAGAACAGAGAACAGCCGGUCUCCUUAUCAACUUUGGCUGCUAAAUAGACAUGCUGAGGAUGAUCCAGAGAGUGUGAAUGAUGACUACGGCAUUGACUGGAAUGGACCGCAUGCCAUGGAAGAUGCAGACAGUGUUGUAAUCCCAGAUGUCCAGUUGCAACGAGAUCUCACUGCAGAGGAGAUUGCAAGCUUACCCAAAUGGGACGUUUCCCUC